GAGCGAUGACAGAAUUCUGUGCUCCCGUGAUUGGUUGGGUCCAUCACAGCCGUCUGAUCUCACAGACGACAAGACGCACAUCUGAGCUC
This 89-nucleotide small nucleolar RNA is filed under the name Setaria italica (foxtail millet). Its description in RNAcentral is "small nucleolar RNA snoR114". It matches the Rfam family "small nucleolar RNA snoR114". Lineage: Eukaryota; Viridiplantae; Streptophyta; Magnoliopsida; Poales; Poaceae. The record is from Rfam by way of RNAcentral.